UGGGGAAUUUUGGACAAUGGGCGGAAGCCUGAUCCAGCAAUGCCGCGUGUGUGAAGAAGGCCUUCGGGUUGUAAAGCACUUUUGUCCGGAAAGAAAUCCUCUGGGUUAAUACCUCGGGGGGAUGACGGUACCGGAAGAAUAAGCACCGGCUAACUACGUGCCAGCAGCCGCGGUAAUACGUAGGGUGCAAGCGUUAAUCGGAAUUACUGGGCGUAAAGCGUGCGCAGGCGGUUUUGUAAGACGGAUGUGAAAUCCCCGGGCUUAACCUGGGAACUGCAUUCGUGACUGCAAGGCUAGAGUAUGGCAGAGGGGGGUAGAAUUCCACGUGUAGCAGUGAAAUGCGUAGAGAUGUGGAGGAAUACCGAUGGCGAAGGCAGCCCCCUGGGCCAAUACUGACGCUCAUGCACGAAAGCGUGGGGAGCAAACAGGAUUAGAUACCCUGGUAGUCCACGCCCUAAACGAUGUCAACUAGUUGUUGGGGAUUCAUUUCCUUAGUAACGUAGCUAACGCGUGAAGUUGACCGCCUGGGGAGUACGGUCGCAA
Molecule: ribosomal RNA, 543 nt
Filed under: uncultured bacterium
Lineage: Bacteria
Description: partial 16S ribosomal RNA
Rfam family: Bacterial small subunit ribosomal RNA
Source: RNAcentral